RNAcentral lists this ribosomal RNA (2911 nucleotides) under Staphylococcus aureus. RNAcentral describes it as "bacterial LSU rRNA". It matches the Rfam family "Bacterial large subunit ribosomal RNA". Lineage: Bacteria; Bacillati; Bacillota; Bacilli; Caryophanales; Staphylococcaceae. The record is from RNAcentral.
UUAAGGGCGCACGGUGGAUGCCUUGGCACUAGAAGCCGAUGAAGGACGUUACUAACGACGAUAUGCUUUGGGGAGCUGUAAGUAAGCUUUGAUCCAGAGAUUUCCGAAUGGGGAAACCCAGCAUGAGUUAUGUCAUGUUAUCGAUAUGUGAAUACAUAGCAUAUCAGAAGGCACACCCGGAGAACUGAAACAUCUUAGUACCCGGAGGAAGAGAAAGAAAAUUCGAUUCCCUUAGUAGCGGCGAGCGAAACGGGAAGAGCCCAAACCAACAAGCUUGCUUGUUGGGGUUGUAGGACACUCUAUACGGAGUUACAAAGGACGACAUUAGACGAAUCAUCUGGAAAGAUGAAUCAAAGAAGGUAAUAAUCCUGUAGUCGAAAAUGUUGUCUCUCUUGAGUGGAUCCUGAGUACGACGGAGCACGUGAAAUUCCGUCGGAAUCUGGGAGGACCAUCUCCUAAGGCUAAAUACUCUCUAGUGACCGAUAGUGAACCAGUACCGUGAGGGAAAGGUGAAAAGCACCCCGGAAGGGGAGUGAAAUAGAACCUGAAACCGUGUGCUUACAAGUAGUCAGAGCCCGUUAAUGGGUGAUGGCGUGCCUUUUGUAGAAUGAACCGGCGAGUUACGAUUUGAUGCAAGGUUAAGCAGUAAAUGUGGAGCCGUAGCGAAAGCGAGUCUGAAUAGGGCGUUUAGUAUUUGGUCGUAGACCCGAAACCAGGUGAUCUACCCUUGGUCAGGUUGAAGUUCAGGUAACACUGAAUGGAGGACCGAACCGACUUACGUUGAAAAGUGAGCGGAUGAACUGAGGGUAGCGGAGAAAUUCCAAUCGAACCUGGAGAUAGCUGGUUCUCUCCGAAAUAGCUUUAGGGCUAGCCUCAAGUGAUGAUUAUUGGAGGUAGAGCACUGUUUGGACGAGGGGCCCCUCUCGGGUUACCGAAUUCAGACAAACUCCGAAUGCCAAUUAAUUUAACUUGGGAGUCAGAACAUGGGUGAUAAGGUCCGUGUUCGAAAGGGAAACAGCCCAGACCACCAGCUAAGGUCCCAAAAUAUAUGUUAAGUGGAAAAGGAUGUGGCGUUGCCCAGACAACUAGGAUGUUGGCUUAGAAGCAGCCAUCAUUUAAAGAGUGCGUAAUAGCUCACUAGUCGAGUGACACUGCGCCGAAAAUGUACCGGGGCUAAACAUAUUACCGAAGCUGUGGAUUGUCCUUUGGACAAUGGUAGGAGAGCGUUCUAAGGGCGUUGAAGCAUGAUCGUAAGGACAUGUGGAGCGCUUAGAAGUGAGAAUGCCGGUGUGAGUAGCGAAAGACGGGUGAGAAUCCCGUCCACCGAUUGACUAAGGUUUCCAGAGGAAGGCUCGUCCGCUCUGGGUUAGUCGGGUCCUAAGCUGAGGCCGACAGGCGUAGGCGAUGGAUAACAGGUUGAUAUUCCUGUACCACCUAUAAUCGUUUUAAUCGAUGGGGGGACGCAGUAGGAUAGGCGAAGCGUGCGAUUGGAUUGCACGUCUAAGCAGUAAGGCUGAGUAUUAGGCAAAUCCGGUACUCGUUAAGGCUGAGCUGUGAUGGGGAGAAGACAUUGUGUCUUCGAGUCGUUGAUUUCACACUGCCGAGAAAAGCCUCUAGAUAGAAAAUAGGUGCCCGUACCGCAAACCGACACAGGUAGUCAAGAUGAGAAUUCUAAGGUGAGCGAGCGAACUCUCGUUAAGGAACUCGGCAAAAUGACCCCGUAACUUCGGGAGAAGGGGUGCUCUUUAGGGUUAACGCCCAGAAGAGCCGCAGUGAAUAGGCCCAAGCGACUGUUUAUCAAAAACACAGGUCUCUGCUAAACCGUAAGGUGAUGUAUAGGGGCUGACGCCUGCCCGGUGCUGGAAGGUUAAGAGGAGUGGUUAGCUUCUGCGAAGCUACGAAUCGAAGCCCCAGUAAACGGCGGCCGUAACUAUAACGGUCCUAAGGUAGCGAAAUUCCUUGUCGGGUAAGUUCCGACCCGCACGAAAGGCGUAACGAUUUGGGCACUGUCUCAACGAGAGACUCGGUGAAAUCAUAGUACCUGUGAAGAUGCAGGUUACCCGCGACAGGACGGAAAGACCCCGUGGAGCUUUACUGUAGCCUGAUAUUGAAAUUCGGCACAGCUUGUACAGGAUAGGUAGGAGCCUUUGAAACGUGAGCGCUAGCUUACGUGGAGGCGCUGGUGGGAUACUACCCUAGCUGUGUUGGCUUUCUAACCCUCACCACUUAUCGUGGUGGGAGACAGUGUCAGGCGGGCAGUUUGACUGGGGCGGUCGCCUCCUAAAAGGUAACGGAGGCGCUCAAAGGUUCCCUCAGAAUGGUUGGAAAUCAUUCAUAGAGUGUAAAGGCAUAAGGGAGCUUGACUGCGAGACCUACAAGUCGAGCAGGGUCGAAAGACGGACUUAGUGAUCCGGUGGUUCCGCAUGGAAGGGCCAUCGCUCAACGGAUAAAAGCUACCCCGGGGAUAACAGGCUUAUCUCCCCCAAGAGUUCACAUCGACGGGGAGGUUUGGCACCUCGAUGUCGGCUCAUCGCAUCCUGGGGCUGUAGUCGGUCCCAAGGGUUGGGCUGUUCGCCCAUUAAAGCGGUACGCGAGCUGGGUUCAGAACGUCGUGAGACAGUUCGGUCCCUAUCCGUCGUGGGCGUAGGAAAUUUGAGAGGAGCUGUCCUUAGUACGAGAGGACCGGGAUGGACAUACCUCUGGUGUACCAGUUGUCGUGCCAACGGCAUAGCUGGGUAGCUAUGUGUGGACGGGAUAAGUGCUGAAAGCAUCUAAGCAUGAAGCCCCCCUCAAGAUGAGAUUUCCCAACUUCGGUUAUAAGAUCCCUCAAAGAUGAUGAGGUUAAUAGGUUCGAGGUGGAAGCAUGGUGACAUGUGGAGCUGACGAAUACUAAUCGAUCGAAGACUUAAUC